AGCGUACACGGUGGAUGCCCUGGCAGUCAGAGGCGAUGAAGGACGUGCUAAUCUGCGAUAAGCGUCGGUAAGGUGAUAUGAACCGUUAUAACCGGCGAUUUCCGAAUGGGGAAACCCAGUGUGUUUCGACACACUAUCAUUAACUGAAUCCAUAGGUUAAUGAGGCGAACCGGGGGAACUGAAACAUCUAAGUACCCCGAGGAAAAGAAAUCAACCGAGAUUCCCCCAGUAGCGGCGAGCGAACGGGGAGCAGCCCAGAGCCUGAAUCAGUGUGUGUGUUAGUGGAAGCGUCUGGAAAGGCGCGCGAUACAGGGUGACAGCCCCGUACACAAAAAUGCACAUAUUGUGAGCUCGAUGAGUAGGGCGGGACACGUGGUAUCCUGUCUGAAUAUGGGGGGACCAUCCUCCAAGGCUAAAUACUCCUGACUGACCGAUAGUGAACCAGUACCGUGAGGGAAAGGCGAAAAGAACCCCGGCGAGGGGAGUGAAAAAGAACCUGAAACCGUGUACGUACAAGCAGUGGGAGCACGCUUAGGCGUGUGACUGCGUACCUUUUGUAUAAUGGGUCAGCGACUUAUAUUCUGUAGCAAGGUUAACCGAAUAGGGGAGCCGAAGGGAAACCGAGUCUUAACUGGGCGUUAAGUUGCAGGGUAUAGACCCGAAACCCGGUGAUCUAGCCAUGGGCAGGUUGAAGGUUGGGUAACACUAACUGGAGGACCGAACCGACUAAUGUUGAAAAAUUAGCGGAUGACUUGUGGCUGGGGGUGAAAGGCCAAUCAAACCGGGAGAUAGCUGGUUCUCCCCGAAAGCUAUUUAGGUAGCGCCUCGUGAAUUCAUCUCCGGGGGUAGAGCACUGUUUCGGCAAGGGGGUCAUCCCGACUUACCAACCCGAUGCAAACUGCGAAUACCGGAGAAUGUUAUCACGGGAGACACACGGCGGGUGCUAACGUCCGUCGUGAAGAGGGAAACAACCCAGACCGCCAGCUAAGGUCCCAAAGUCAUGGUUAAGUGGGAAACGAUGUGGGAAGGCCCAGACAGCCAGGAUGUUGGCUUAGAAGCAGCCAUCAUUUAAAGAAAGCGUAAUAGCUCACUGGUCGAGUCGGCCUGCGCGGAAGAUGUAACGGGGCUAAACCAUGCACCGAAGCUGCGGCAGCGACGCUGAUGCGUUGUUGGGUAGGGGAGCGUUCUGUAAGCCUGCGAAGGUGUGCUGUGAGGCAUGCUGGAGGUAUCAGAAGUGCGAAUGCUGACAUAAGUAACGAUAAAGCGGGUGAAAAGCCCGCUCGCCGGAAGACCAAGGGUUCCUGUCCAACGUUAAUCGGGGCAGGGUGAGUCGACCCCUAAGGCGAGGCCGAAAGGCGUAGUCGAUGGGAAACAGGUUAAUAUUCCUGUACUUGGUGUUACUGCGAAGGGGGGACGGAGAAGGCUAUGUUGGCCGGGCGACGGUUGUCCCGGUUUAAGCGUGUAGGCUGGUUUUCCAGGCAAAUCCGGAAAAUCAAGGCUGAGGCGUGAUGACGAGGCACUACGGUGCUGAAGCAACAAAUGCCCUGCUUCCAGGAAAAGCCUCUAAGCAUCAGGUAACAUCAAAUCGUACCCCAAACCGACACAGGUGGUCAGGUAGAGAAUACCAAGGCGCUUGAGAGAACUCGGGUGAAGGAACUAGGCAAAAUGGUGCCGUAACUUCGGGAGAAGGCACGCUGAUAUGUAGGUGAAGUCCCUCGCGGAUGGAGCUGAAAUCAGUCGAAGAUACCAGCUGGCUGCAACUGUUUAUUAAAAACACAGCACUGUGCAAACACGAAAGUGGACGUAUACGGUGUGACGCCUGCCCGGUGCCGGAAGGUUAAUUGAUGGGGUCAGCGCAAGCGAAGCUCUUGAUCGAAGCCCCGGUAAACGGCGGCCGUAACUAUAACGGUCCUAAGGUAGCGAAAUUCCUUGUCGGGUAAGUUCCGACCUGCACGAAUGGCGUAAUGAUGGCCAGGCUGUCUCCACCCGAGACUCAGUGAAAUUGAACUCGCUGUGAAGAUGCAGUGUACCCGCGGCAAGACGGAAAGACCCCGUGAACCUUUACUAUAGCUUGACACUGAACAUUGAGCCUUGAUGUGUAGGAUAGGUGGGAGGCUUUGAAGUGUGGACGCCAGUCUGCAUGGAGCCGACCUUGAAAUACCACCCUUUAAUGUUUGAUGUUCUAACGUUGACCCGUAAUCCGGGUUGCGGACAGUGUCUGGUGGGUAGUUUGACUGGGGCGGUCUCCUCCUAAAGAGUAACGGAGGAGCACGAAGGUUGGCUAAUCCUGGUCGGACAUCAGGAGGUUAGUGCAAUGGCAUAAGCCAGCUUGACUGCGAGCGUGACGGCGCGAGCAGGUGCGAAAGCAGGUCAUAGUGAUCCGGUGGUUCUGAAUGGAAGGGCCAUCGCUCAACGGAUAAAAGGUACUCCGGGGAUAACAGGCUGAUACCGCCCAAGAGUUCAUAUCGACGGCGGUGUUUGGCACCUCGAUGUCGGCUCAUCACAUCCUGGGGCUGAAGUAGGUCCCAAGGGUAUGGCUGUUCGCCAUUUAAAGUGGUACGCGAGCUGGGUUUAGAACGUCGUGAGACAGUUCGGUCCCUAUCUGCCGUGGGCGCUGGAGAACUGAGGGGGGCUGCUCCUAGUACGAGAGGACCGGAGUGGACGCAUCACUGGUGUUCGGGUUGUCAUGCCAAUGGCACUGCCCGGUAGCUAAAUGCGGAAGAGAUAAGUGCUGAAAGCAUCUAAGCACGAAACUUGCCCCGAGAUGAGUUCU
This 2773-nucleotide ribosomal RNA is filed under the name human gut metagenome. Its description in RNAcentral is "bacterial LSU rRNA". It matches the Rfam family "Bacterial large subunit ribosomal RNA". The record is from RNAcentral.